AUUGAACGCUGGCGGCAGGCCUAACACAUGCAAGUCGAGCGGAUGAAGGGAGCUUGCUCCUGGAUUCAGCGGCGGACGGGUGAGUAAUGCCUAGGAAUCUGCCUGGUAGUGGGGGAUAACGUCCGGAAACGGGCGCUAAUACCGCACACGUCCUGAGGGAGAAAGUGGGGGAUCUUCGGACCUCACGCUAUGAGAUGAGCCUAGGUCGGAUUAGCUAGUUGGUGGGGUAAAGGCCUACCAAGGCGACGAUCCGUAACUGGUCUGAGAGGAUGAUCAGUCACACUGGAACUGAGACACGGUCCAGACUCCUACGGGAGGCAGCAGUGGGGAAUAUUGGACAAUGGGCGAAAGCCUGAUCCAGCCAUGCCGCGUGUGUGAAGAAGGUCUUCGGAUUGUAAAGCACUUUAAGUUGGGAGGAAGGGCAGUAAGUUAAUACCUUGCUGUUUUGACGUUACCAACAGAAUAAGCACCGGCUAACUUCGUG
This 484-nucleotide ribosomal RNA is filed under the name uncultured bacterium. RNAcentral describes it as "partial 16S ribosomal RNA". It matches the Rfam family "Bacterial small subunit ribosomal RNA", at positions 30 to 507 of the family's 1533-position model. The record is from RNAcentral.